This 250-nucleotide small RNA is filed under the name Heyndrickxia sporothermodurans. RNAcentral describes it as "Bacillus sporothermodurans BsrG". It matches the Rfam family "BsrG". From Rfam's summary of the family: bsrE, bsrG and bsrH pair through intermolecular interactions with antisense sRNAs. SR4 interaction with the 3'UTR of bsrG RNA promotes bsrG degradation and inhibits its translation. SR5 also overlaps bsrG from nucleotide 163 to 52 (Rfam overlap check). Lineage: Bacteria; Bacillati; Bacillota; Bacilli; Caryophanales; Bacillaceae. The record is from Rfam by way of RNAcentral.
AGCAAUAGGGCUUUCAUGGGUGGUAACUCACUCCCUUCUUUGAAAGGGGGUGAUAGCAUGACAGUUUAUGAGACGUUAGUCUUGAUGGUUUCUUUUGCAACUUUAAUUGUAGCCAUACUGUCACAACAAAAAAAGUAACCGCCCAUAGAACGCCUAGCAAGCACAUGGGUUGGUUACUUUUUUCUGACCUAAUAGUGUGAGUUGCCCUUGAAGGGCUAUUGCUAAGACCAGAGGUGUUGGCGCACCUUUG